CCUACGGGAGGCAGCAGUGAGGAAUAUUGGUCAAUGGGCGUAAGCCUGAACCAGCCAAGUCGCGUGAGGGAUGAAGGUUCUAUGGAUCGUAAACCUCUUUUAUAAGGGAAUAAAGUGUGGGACGUGUCCUGUUUUGUAUGUACCUUAUGAAUAAGGAUCGGCUAACUCCGUGCCAGCAGCCGCGGUAAUACGGAGGAUCCGAGCGUUAUCCGGAUUUAUUGGGUUUAAAGGGUGCGUAGGCGGCCUUUGAAGUCAGCGGUGAAAGUCUGUGGCUCAACCAUAGAAUUGCCGUUGAAACUGGGAGGCUUGAGGAUGUUUGAGGCAGGCGGAAUGCGUGGUGGAGCGGUGAAAUGCUUAGAAAUCACGCAGAACCACGAUUGCGAAGGCAGCCUGCCAAGCCAUGACUGACGCUGAUGCACGAAAGCGUGGGGAUCAAACAGGAUUAGAUACCCCUGUAGUC
This 460-nucleotide ribosomal RNA is filed under the name uncultured bacterium. RNAcentral describes it as "partial 16S ribosomal RNA". It matches the Rfam family "Bacterial small subunit ribosomal RNA", at positions 338 to 795 of the family's 1533-position model. The record is from RNAcentral.